This 687-nucleotide long non-coding RNA is filed under the name Equus caballus (horse). RNAcentral's name for it is "lncRNA (ENSECAG00000048994.1)". The record is from RNAcentral. Lineage: Eukaryota; Metazoa; Chordata; Mammalia; Perissodactyla; Equidae.
GCGCGCACGGAUGGCGGUGGGUCAUCAGCCCGUCCAGCGGUCCCCUCACCUGGAAAACACUGGGAAGUUGAGCCGCCGCGCCUCGCUCUUACCCGGGCAGAUGAGGCGCUGCCCGGAGCGGACCGGCUGCCCGAUCACCGUCUGCACUUUCACAGGGCUCUCUCUUUCUCCCGGUCCUCUCCAAGGCGUUUGUCAAUCUUCCCGACACUCACCAGGCGGCGAAGUGAGAGAGAAGGCCGUUUCCUGACCUCCCUCCGGCGCUACCUCCCCUCCUUUGCAGGAACUGCGGGCAGCGAUUUCUUCUCCGGGCCGCUGGAGCGCGUGGGGACCGCAGCGGGGUCCCUGCCCCCGUGGCCGCUCCACACCGAGCCCGCUUGGUCUCCGCAGAGUUGGUGCACCCGGCGGAGGCGCUGCAAGCUGCGGUGUCUCCAGCCAAGAAGGUGGGGAAGAAGAGGGGAGACAGUUCACCCUCCAGAACCGCGAGGCCAGUCUGCGCUCCUGCACACCGUAUGAGGCGUUUGUCCCUUCAACAAAUAUUUGAGGAGCUGGGCCAGUGCUGGAUGCUGAUGGGAACGUGAUGGAAUAUGGAGCCCAAACGGAAAAAUAACCCUGCCAUCCCUACCCCUCCAUCCCCCUGUGGAAACUCAGAAUUAAGCCCUGCUCAAAUCAACUUAAAUAGAAGACAAU